RNAcentral lists this transfer RNA (66 nucleotides) under Tegillarca granosa. RNAcentral describes it as "tRNA-Trp". Lineage: Eukaryota; Metazoa; Mollusca; Bivalvia; Arcoida; Arcidae. The record is from RNAcentral.
GAAACCUUAAGUUAAUAAGACUAAUGGCCUUCAAAGCCGAAAGUGUAGCAAAAGUUACAGGUUUUG